CCCUACGGGGCGCAGCAGCAAGGAAUAUUGUGCAAUGGGCGAAAGCCUGACACAGCGACGCCGCGUGAGGGAUGAAGGCCUUCGGGUCGUAAACCUCUUUUCUCAGGGAGGAGUAAGGACAGUACCUGAGGAAUAAGCCACGGCUAACUACGUGCCAGCAGCUGCGGUAAAACGUAGGUGGCGAGCGUUAUCCGGAUUUAUUGGGCGUAAAGAGGGCGCAGGCGGCCUGGUAAGUCGAAUGUGAAAUCUCCCGGCUUAACUGGGAGGGGUCAUUCGAUACUAUCAAGCUGGAGUGCGACAGGGGGAGGUAGAAUUCCCGGUGUAGUGGUGAAAUGCGUAGAUAUCGGGAGGAAUACCAGUGGCGAAGGCGGCCUCCUGGGUCGUUACUGACGCUUAAGCCCGAAAGCGUGGGGAGCAAACAGGAUUAGAUACCCCGGU
RNAcentral lists this ribosomal RNA (438 nucleotides) under uncultured bacterium. RNAcentral describes it as "bacterial SSU rRNA". It matches the Rfam family "Bacterial small subunit ribosomal RNA", at positions 337 to 791 of the family's 1533-position model. The record is from RNAcentral.